This 882-nucleotide ribosomal RNA is filed under the name Trichoderma citrinoviride. Its description in RNAcentral is "partial large subunit ribosomal RNA". It matches the Rfam family "Eukaryotic large subunit ribosomal RNA", at positions 56 to 970 of the family's 3401-position model. Lineage: Eukaryota; Fungi; Ascomycota; Sordariomycetes; Hypocreales; Hypocreaceae. The record is from RNAcentral.
AAGAACCAACAGGGAUUGCCCCAGUAACGGCGAGUGAAGCGGCAACAGCUCAAAUUUGAAAUCUGGCCCUUUUGGGUCCGAGUUGUAAUUUGUAGAGGAUGCUUUUGGCAAGGUGCCGCCCGAGUUCCCUGGAACGGGACGCCACAGAGGGUGAGAGCCCCGUCUGGCUGGCCACCGAGCCUCUGUAAAGCUCCUUCGACGAGUCGAGUAGUUUGGGAAUGCUGCUCAAAAUGGGAGGUAUAUGUCUUCUAAAGCUAAAUAUUGGCCAGAGACCGAUAGCGCACAAGUAGAGUGAUCGAAAGAUGAAAAGCACCUUGAAAAGAGGGUUAAAUAGUACGUGAAAUUGUUGAAAGGGAAGCGCUUGUGACCAGACUUGGGCGCGGCGGAUCAUCCGGGGUUCUCCCCGGUGCACUUCGCCGUGUCCAGGCCAGCAUCAGUUCGUCGCGGGGGAAAAAGGCUUCGGGAACGUGGCUCCCCUGGGAGUGUUAUAGCCCGUUGCAUAAUACCCUGCGGUGGACUGAGGACCGCGCAUCUGCAAGGAUGCUGGCGUAAUGGUCACCAGCGACCCGUCUUGAAACACGGACCAAGGAGUCGUCUUCGUAUGCGAGUGUUCGGGUGUCAAACCCCUACGCGUAAUGAAAGUGAACGCAGGUGAGAGCUUCGGCGCAUCAUCGACCGAUCCUGAUGUUCUCGGAUGGAUUUGAGUAAGAGCAUACGGGGCCGGACCCGAAAGAAGGUGAACUAUGCCUGUAUAGGGUGAAGCCAGAGGAAACUCUGGUGGAGGCUCGCAGCGGUUCUGACGUGCAAAUCGAUCGUCAAAUAUGGGCAUGGGGGCGAAAGACUAAUCGAACCUUCUAGAAGCUGGGAUUCCGCCGAAAGUUC